CCCUUAGAUGUCCUGGGCCGCACGCGCGCUACACUGAUGCAUUCAACGAGUUUUACCUUGGCCGAGAGGCCUGGGCAAUCUUUUAAACCUGCAUCGUGAUAGGGAUAGAUUAUUGCAAUUAUUAAUCUUGAACGAGGAAUUCCUAGUAAACGCAGAUCAUCAAUCUGCAUUGAUUACGUCCCUGCCCUUUGUACACACCGCCCGUCGCACCUACCGAUUGAAUGGUUCGGUGAAGCCUCGGGAUUGUGGCCAGUUCACUUUAUUGGGAGUUGGCUGCGAGAACUUGUCUAAACCUUAUCAUUUAGAGGAAGGUGAAGUCGUAACA
This 325-nucleotide ribosomal RNA is filed under the name uncultured eukaryote. RNAcentral's name for it is "partial 18S ribosomal RNA". It matches the Rfam family "Eukaryotic small subunit ribosomal RNA", at positions 1470 to 1796 of the family's 1831-position model. The record is from RNAcentral.